This 286-nucleotide ribosomal RNA is filed under the name uncultured prokaryote. RNAcentral describes it as "partial 16S ribosomal RNA". It matches the Rfam family "Bacterial small subunit ribosomal RNA", at positions 524 to 819 of the family's 1533-position model. The record is from RNAcentral.
UACGGAGGGGGCUAGCGUUGUUCGGAAUUACUGGGCGUAAAGCGCACGUAGGCGGACUGGAAAGUUGGGGGUGAAAUCCCGGGGCUCAACCCCGGAACUGCCCUCAAAACUUUCAGUCUGGAGUCCGAGAGAGGUGAGUGGAAUUCCGAGUGUAGAGGUGAAAUUCGUAGAUAUUCGGAGGAACACCAGCGGCGAAGGCGGCUCACUGGCUCGGUACUGACGCUGAGGUGCGAAAGCGUGGGGAGCAAACAGGAUUAGAUACCCGGGUAGUCCCUGAGCGGGCUGG